AAAUCUCAACCUUCUUGGUUUCUUUUGAACGCCAAGGAGGCUUGGACUUUGGAGGGCUUUGCUGGACUUGAAAGGUCAGCUCCUCUCAAAUGAAUUAGCGAGGUCCCCUUUGCCGAUCCUCGACGUGUGAUAAGAUGCUUCCACGUCUCGGUCUUUGGCUCUGUCGCCUCUUGGGACCUGCUUCCAAUCGUCUCUCGACGAGACAACGUUCGAGCACGCCUCGACCACGUAC
This 232-nucleotide unclassified non-coding RNA is filed under the name uncultured Lactarius. RNAcentral describes it as "sequence contains ITS2". The record is from RNAcentral. Lineage: Eukaryota; Fungi; Basidiomycota; Agaricomycetes; Russulales; Russulaceae.